UCAAGUGUCUAAGAGCAUAUGAUGGAUGCCUUGGCAUUGAGAGGCGAUGAAGGACGUAGCAGGCUGCGAUAAGCCACGGGGAGGCGCCAACACCCUUUGAUCCGUGGAUUUCCGAAUGGGGCAACCCACUUCUUUUUGAAGUAUUUUACACUGAAUACAUAGGUGUAAAAAGCAAACCUGGUGAACUGAAACAUCUCAGUAACCAGAGGAAAGGAUAUCAACAGAUACUCUGCUAGUAGCGGCGAGCGAACGCGGACCAGGCCAGUAAUUAAAACUUAAAAAUCAGAAAUACCUGGAAAGGUAUACCAUAGAUGGUGAUAGUCCAGUAUGAGUAAAAAGAGUUUUAGUUCUCGAGUAGGACGGGACACGUGAAAUCUUGUCUGAAUUUAGGGGGACCACCCUCUAAGCCUAAGUACUUCUCAAUGACCGAUAGUGAACAAGUACCGUGAGGGAAAGGUGAAAAAUACCCCCAUGAGGGGAGUGAAAUAGAUCUGAAAUUGUAUGCUUACAAGCAGUCGAAGGAGGUUUAUCCUCUGACGGCGUACCUUUUGUAUAAUGGGUCAGCGAGUUAAUUUAGAUAGCAAGCUUAAACCGUUAGGUGUAGGCGUAGCGAAAGCGAGUUCGAAAGAGCAAAUUAGUUAUUUGAAUUAGACCCGAAACCGGGUGAUCUAGCCAUGGGCAGGUUGAAGGUAAAGUAAUAUUUACUGGAGGACCGAACACACUAAUGUUGAAAAAUUAGGUGAUGACUUGUGGCUAGGAGUGAAAGGCUAAUCAAACUCGGAAAUAGCUGGUUCUCCGCGAAAUCUAUUUAGGUAGAGCGUCGAAUGUUUACCAACGGGGGUAGAGCACUGGAUGGGCUAGGGGGUUGCAAAACCUACCAAACCUAACCAAACUCCGAAUACCGUUGAGUAUAGUUCGGCAGACAGACUGUGGGUGCUAAGGUCCAUAGUCGAAAGGGAAACAGCCCAGAUCACAAGCUAAGGUCCCCAAGUAAUAACUAAGUGUAAAAGGAUGUAAAGUAGCCAAGACAGCCAGGAGGUUGGCUUAGAAGCAGCCACCCUUUAAAGAAAGCGUAACAGCUCACUGGUCUAGUUAAGCAACUUUGCGCCAAAGAUGUAACGGGGCUAAGUUAUUCACCGAAGCUGUGGAUUAGUAUUUUGUUCGCAAAAUACUACUGGUAGCGGAGCGUUCCGUAAGUCUGUGAAGAUAAUUUGUAAGAAUUAUUGGAGAUAUCGGAAGUGAGAAUGCUGACAUGAGUAGCGAUAAACAGAGUGAGAAACUCUGUCGCCGAAAGUCCAAGGUUUCCUGCGCAAGGUUAAUCCGCGCAGGGUUAGUCGGCCCCUAAGGCGAGGGCGAAAGCCGUAGUCGAUGGGAAUCAGGUUAAUAUUCCUGAACUAUCUGGUGGUGACGAAGUUUUAAUUUUGUACAAGCUUAUUGGAUUGUUUGUGCAAUGAGGAAUUUCCAGGAAAUAGCCCCAGAGCGUUAACCGUACCCCAAACCAACACAGGUGGACAGGUAGAAGAUACUAAGGCGCUUGAGAGAAUGGUGUUGAAGGAACUCGGCAAAUUGCAUCCGUAACUUCGGAAGAAGGAUGACCUUUUGUUGAGCAAUCAACAGAAGGUGACACAAAAUUGGGGAUAGCGACUGUUUAUCAAAAACAUAGGGCUCUGCUAAGUUGUAAAACGAUGUAUAGGGCCUGACGCCUGCCCGGUGCCGGAAGGUUAAGAGAAUAAGUGCAAGCUUUGAAUUGAAGCCCCGGUGAACGGCGGCCGUAACUAUAACGGUCCUAAGGUAGCGAAAUUCCUUGUCGGGUAAGUUCCGACCCGCACGAAUGGCGUAACGACUUUCCCACUGUCUCCAACACCAACUCAGCGAAAUUGAAUUCUCCGUGAAGAUGCGGAGUAACCGCGGUCAGACGGAAAGACCCCGUGCACCUUUACUACAGCUUUGCAGUGGCAUUAGGAAUUGAAUGUGUAGAUUAAGUGGGAGACUUUGAUGUAUUGGCGCUAGCUGGUAUGGAGUCACCAGUGAAAUACCACUCUUUUAAUUCUUGAUAUCUAACUGAGGUCCGUUAUCCGGAUCCAGGACCCUGCAUGGUGGGUAGUUUGACUGGGGCGGUCGCCUCCCAAAGAGUAACGGAGGCGCACAAUGGUAGGCUCAAACUGGUCAGAAAUCAGUUGUAGAGUGCAAUGGCACAAGCCUGCUUGACUGUGAGAGUGACAACUCGAACAGAGACGAAAGUCGGUCAUAGUGAUCCGGUGGUUCUUAGUGGAAGGGCCAUCGCUCAACGGAUAAAAGGUACGCCGGGGAUAACAGGCUAAUAACUCCCAAGAGUCCAUAUCGACGGGGUUGUUUGGCACCUCGAUGUCGGCUCAUCACAUCCUGGGGCUGGAGCAGGUUCCAAGGGUUCGGCUGUUCGCCGAUUAAAGUGGUACGUGAGCUGGGUUCAGAACGUCGUGAGACAGUUCGGUCCCUAUCUGCCGUGGUUGUUGGAAAACUGAGAGGAUCUGCCCUUAGUACGAGAGGACCGGGGUGGACGUACCUCUGGUGUACCGGUUGUCGCGCCAGCGGCAUCGCCGGGUAGCUAUGUACGGAAAGGAUAACCGCUGAAAGCAUCUAAGUGGGAAGCCCACCUCAAGACUAGUUUUCCUUAUAGAGCUGUGGAAGACCACCACGUUGAUAGGCUAGAUGUGGAAGCAUGGUAACAUGUGAAGCUAACUAGUACUAAUAGCUCAAAAUCUUGAUUUU
Molecule: ribosomal RNA, 2748 nt
Filed under: marine metagenome
Description: bacterial LSU rRNA
Rfam family: Bacterial large subunit ribosomal RNA
Source: RNAcentral